This 304-nucleotide ribosomal RNA is filed under the name uncultured alga. Its description in RNAcentral is "bacterial SSU rRNA". It matches the Rfam family "Bacterial small subunit ribosomal RNA", at positions 466 to 769 of the family's 1533-position model. The record is from RNAcentral.
CACUUGACGGUACCAGAUGAAUAAGCACCGGCUAACUCCGUGCCAGCAGCCGCGGUAAUACGGAGGGUGCAAGCGUUAUCCGGAUUCACUGGGUUUAAAGGGUGCGUAGGCGGGCAGGUAAGUCAGUGGUGAAAUCCUUGAGCUUAACUCCAGAACUGCCAUUGAUACUAUCUGUCUUGAAUAUUGUGGAGGUAAGCGGAAUAUGUCAUGUAGCGGUGAAAUGCUUAGAUAUGACAUAGAACACCUAUUGCGAAGGCAGCUUACUACGCAUAUAUUGACGCUGAGGCACGAAAGCGUGGGGAUC